GUGAAUCAUCAAAUUUUUGAACGCAAAUUGCGCUUCCUGGUAUUCCGGGAAGUAUGCCUGUUUGAGGGUCAGUAUUAAUAUAAAAUCGGUUUAGUUACGAAUCGUGACGUUUCUGGAGUUUUGGCUAUCUUAAUAUUUUUGGUUAAGAGGUUUAAAAUUGACCUUUUUUGCGCACUUUUAAACGUACAUAAAUUUUUUUUAUUCGUCUAUUCUUAAUGCUAAAGUCUUAUUAGAUGCGAUUACAUCGUGUGGCUUAGUGUUCAUAAAAUUUUGAUGAUUUGACCUCAAAUUAGGUAGGAGU
This 301-nucleotide unclassified non-coding RNA is filed under the name Glomeraceae sp. RNAcentral describes it as "partial contains 5.8S ribosomal RNA and internal transcribed spacer 2". The stretch from base 1 to 71 matches the Rfam family "5.8S ribosomal RNA", at positions 84 to 154 of the family's 154-position model. Lineage: Eukaryota; Fungi; Glomeromycota; Glomeromycetes; Glomerales; Glomeraceae. The record is from RNAcentral.